AUAAAAUUGUUUAAUAAUUGCUUAAUUUCAAAAAUUUUGUAGAAACAACUUAAAAGUUAAAAAGUAUUGGUUAAAAAAAUUUUGCGGAUAAGCUAUAGAUAAAAGUACUGUUAAGGAAAUAAAAGAUAUAAGUUAAAAGUGAAUUUAGAAGUUAUAAAUAUGUGUACCUUGGGUAUCAGGGAAAACUAAAAUAGAUUAAGUAGUUUAAAUUUCUCGAAAUCUAAAAAGCUAAAAUUUUAUUAAUUUUUUGUAGAAUAAAGAUUUAUAAUAAAAUUUUAAAAAUGAGAUGUUAAUUGGGUUAGAUUAUAUCUGGUUUUUAAAAAAUUAAAUUUAAUUUAGCUUUAAAUAAUAUUUAAAUUUAAAAGUAAAUAUAGAAAGGUUAAGCUUUUUAUAUUGGAAGUUAUAAUAGGUAGGUUGAAAAAUAUUAUUUUCUAGGCUUGAAAGUAGCUAUGAAUGUAAAGUGUUUUAACUAAUAAGAGUUUUAUAUAAAAAUUUAAGAUUAUCUUUAAUUAGUAUUUAGAUAUAGAUGUAAGUAAAAUGCAUUUAGAAAUAAUGGUUUUAUUAGUAGAUAAAUUGAUAUAAAUGGUAGAAUUAAAAUAAUAAGAAAAUUUUUAAAAUUAAUUAAGAUUGGUAAAAGGAACUCGGCAAAUAUUAAAAUUAAAUUCUUUGCCUGUUUAUCAAAAACAUGUCUACAUGAAGAUUUAUGUAGUCAGGCCUGCUCACUGAAUUUAAAAUUUUAAGAGCCGCAGAAUUUUAACUGUGCAAAGGUAGCAUAAUCAUUAGUUUUUUAAUUGAAAACUUGUAUGAAUGGUUAGACAAAAGAAUUUCUGUCUUUUUUUAAUAAAUUGAAUUUUACUUUUAAGUGAAAAGGCUUAAAUAUUUUAGAGGGACGAUAAGACCCUAUAAAGCUUAAUAAGAAUUAAGUUUUUUAAGGAAAUAGGUUUAUAAAUUUAGAAGCUUAUUUUUUAUUUCGUUGGGGUGAUGUAUAUAUAAUUUAAAGUAGCUGUAAGGUAUUAAGACAUGAAUUAGUGAAGUGAAAAAAUUGGUCCUAAUGUUAAGAUUAUAAGACAAAGUUACUUUAGGGAUAACAGCGUAAUUUUUUUUAAGAGUUCUUAUCGAAAAAAAAGUUUGCGACCUCGAUGUUGAAUUAAAAUAUCUUUAUUAGUGUAGCCGCUAUAGGAAGAAGGUCUGUUCGACCUUUAAAUUUUUACAUGAUUUGAGUUCAAACCGGUGUGAGCCAGGUUGGUUUCUAUCUUCUGAGAGGUAAAAAUUAUUUUAGUACGAAAGGAUUAAAUAAUUAGAAUUAUUCUAAAAGUUGGGUUUGUAUACUUUGAGUGUGAGAGAUUAUAUAGAAUAUAAGGUUAA
Molecule: ribosomal RNA, 1365 nt
Filed under: Leptomithrax sp. QNL-2021
Lineage: Eukaryota; Metazoa; Arthropoda; Malacostraca; Decapoda; Majidae
Description: 16S ribosomal RNA
Rfam family: Archaeal large subunit ribosomal RNA (bases 616-1365)
Source: RNAcentral